UUAAUUGUAAUGUAUAGAGGGCGCUCCAGUCAAUACAUCCAUUAUACAUUGUUGUGAAAUGCCAAGUUCUCAGUCAACGUUGGUAUAGCAAUAAACAGUAACUAUGGAUACUCGGACUCCAACAUUUGUUAUGUUUGAUUCAAGUGCUCAUCAAAUGAAAUGGGGCCAGCACAUAAUGGACAGUCUUCAAUCACUGCGAGAAGAGGCUUUAUUCUGCGACAUUAAGAUCAAAGUUGAAGAGCGGGAAUUUCCUGCGCACAAAAUUGUUUUGUCGGCAGCAAGUGAAUAUUUCCGUGCCAUGUUCACAGGUGGACUCAAAGAAUCCUCGCAAGAUAUGAUUGAAUUUCAAGAAGAGACCGAUGUCUGUGCCGAGUCUUUUGAAUUGAUUCUCAAUUUUGCGUAUUCUUCGCAUCUUGCAUUAACCCCAGAAAACGUAUUUGACGUUCUUGCUGCUGCAAACCAUUUGAGUAUGCCCAUUGCAGUUACACAGUGCAUUGAUUAUAUCGAACACUGCUUCCUUCAUGAAAAGUUCAACUUUGAGGAUUUUCUAAAAAUAUCUGAAAUGGCAAAUAAUUUUGAUUUGAAAAGUCUACGAGAGACAGCUGAUAGGUACAUCACACGGAACUUUGUAGAGGUUUGCGAGACUGAAGAUUUCUUAGAAUAUAUGACGGCGAGACGCUUAGCUAGUUUUUUGCAGAAAGAAGACUUGGCUGUUAGUGGAGAAUAUCCGAUUUUGAAAGCUGUUAUAAACUGGAUUCGACACGACAAAGAAACCCGUUUACAUCACUCAGCCAUGCUCCUUAAGAAGGUACGAUUAGGGCUGCUGACGGCACAGGAGAUUGUAGAAGCAUUUGAUCGAGACAUUUUAACAGUACCUCAAUGUAAACUGCUGUAUGAUCAGCUGAUGCAACACCAUGCAACGGCAAAGGCUGUUACGGGACCGCUUUUCGCUCAACUUCCACAGUUGUUUGCACCAAGACUUUCUUCAAAGUCUAUGGUAGCAAUUGGAGGACACACAUCGAUGAGUUUCGUACGGCAGUAUAAUGCAAAUACCAAAGCAUGGGAACCUCUAAAGAACUUUGCGCAGUUGCCAUAUCAGACAGUGAUCAACCACACCGCUGUUGUAGUCGGUGAACACCUAUUCAUCGCAGGUGGUGAAUACAUCAACUCUGGUAAAAAUGCCACCAGGAACUACUUUUUUGUCUACAAUGCAAAAGGCAACAAGUGGUCCAGUUUGCCACCCAUGAAAGUUGAGAGAAAAAGUUUCUCACUAGUCCAUCACGAAGGAUUUAUCUAUGCAAUUGGUGGCCUUGAUAAAGAUGAUAACCCACUUCGUUCGGUGGAGCGUUACGAUCUUGCUCGCAGUAAAUGGGUUUGCGUCGCUGCAUUGGAUGAAGCCCGCUACAACACAACCGCCAUUCUAUUCCAUAACAAGAUCCAUAUUUUCAAAGGACACGGUCAGGUUCGCUACACUUGUUUCGAUCCAGAACUCAACUCAUGGUUACCAGAGAAACGAUUAGGAUUAAAUUCAAAUCGACAGGUAGACUUGUACAUCAAAGAUGAGAAACUCUACUCUGUGUGUUACAAGUCCGUGCCAAGUAGGGUGUAUGGAUCUCAACAAUGGGAUUUGUGUCCAUCAGUAGUGGAGCAUCUGUUGGAUGAAUCUGGCACAGUCCAUUCAGGAAUGUACAUCUCCCAAGACCAAAGUCUUAUACCAGAGAAUGGUAUUGGUGCGUUUAGAAUUGGCGAUAGGGUAUACUUCUUUGUGAAUGGCUUCUGUUUUGAUAGCCAUCUAAGUACAAGUGCUACUCAGGUGUAUGAUAUUGAGUUGGAAGACUGGGAGACGCUCUGCCAUGGAAUAAGUGGGGCGGCAAUCUCUCUGUUGCCUCUUCGUCUUGGGUUAUUAACCCAUUAACACACUUUUAAGAUUCAUUUCAUCAAAUACAAUGUAUGGUCUCAAUUGAAUUCCAAAAGAGAAAAUUACUUUACAACCCAAAAUUAAAACAGUUUAAAGCUCUGUCCAAACUAUCAAAUUUCAUUUGACAAAGAACUGGUAUAUGCCCAUAUAUAGUCAUGAUGUGCCUAUAUAUGAUCAUUAUAUGAUGUCAUCAUUACCAUAUUUAGGCAUGUCACAUGUUUUUGUCAAAUAAAAUUGGAUAGUCUUGACAAGGCUUAUUAGAGUUGAAAUUAUGUUCGGCAUUAUAUUAGUUGUUGUGGAUAAACAAAUGUAUUAAUUUUUUUUUUUUUUUCAAACCAACAAUUUGAUUUGUGUCAUAAACUGGACACAACCCAAAAUCAUCGACAGAGAAGCUGACACAAAUGCCGGAUGUAUAAAAAAAACUAUGAAUCCAGAGAUGAGGGCACCCACUACCUAAGUGAAGUAUAUGACCUUUUUGGACAGAAUUUGACCUCUAGGGGUCAAUCUUUCUAGUGACAGAUAGUCUGUAGUGAAAGGAAAGUGAAAGUGUCAAGGAUAGUGAAAUCAGAUUAUUGGUAUGAAAACAAUAAUUGUUAAUACCUGUACUGUACAUUAUAUUAGUUGAAUUGUGUCGUUAUAUGUUGUAGCCAUACUUCCACAGUAAUUUAUUUUAAUGGUCAUAUAGACUUGUGUCAAACAGAAAGCGGACAUUUCAGGAUGAUAAUAUUUGUCCACGGGGAAAAAAGGGGGUCACUAAAGUGUACUGUAUUAUGUGAACAUAUGGACUGUUCUUACUGUGUUAAGCAUUGAGAUUCAAAUUUUAAUAACAGUAUAAAAAUAAGUAUUGAAAAUAUUAACUUCUAUGUUAUAUGCAAGUUUUAGAACAUUUCAGUAUUUACAUAGUUGCUAUAAUUGUAAUGGUUUGUUUUGAGUUGAAUUCAAGCUUCCGUUUCCUCUAGUACGGUAAUCAGUUUAGUAGUGAUUCUGUGGUUUAGUUCUAUGUUGAAAUAAGAUAUCUUCUAACUGGAAUAUUAAGUGUUUUUCUGUGGCCAGAUUCCUGAAAAAACUAAAAGAUGAUUAUUGUUUAUUGAAGACAUAAAUUUGUAUUAGUAGGCUAUAGUUAAUUGUAUUAAAAACAGGAAAUUAUAAAACAUAAAUUAGCCAACAUCAAAACAGAUUGAAGAAUGGUUUCACUCAGCAGUGAGUAGAAAAUAUAAUUUAAUAAGUUGAUUAAUGAUUUUCUAUGUAUCCAAAAGCAAUUGUCAAUUACAAGAUGGAAUUAUGCCAAAAUAAAACUUUUUGAUGCCCAAGCUCAUCUCAAAA
RNAcentral lists this unclassified non-coding RNA (3241 nucleotides) under Anneissia japonica. RNAcentral's name for it is "kelch-like protein 20, transcript variant X2". The record is from RNAcentral. Lineage: Eukaryota; Metazoa; Echinodermata; Crinoidea; Comatulida; Comatulidae.